AUCAAUUUACAUUUACAUUCAAGAACGAGUAUUAUUGUAGUGGAAUUGUGACUAUUCAAGACAAUAUCUUCUCUACAACUCGGUUCGAGAGAAAAACAGCGCGACGCUCAAACCGUUAUUACUGCCGUAUGGGUUUGCCAUCU
Molecule: small nucleolar RNA, 143 nt
Filed under: Lachancea lanzarotensis
Lineage: Eukaryota; Fungi; Ascomycota; Saccharomycetes; Saccharomycetales; Saccharomycetaceae
Source: RNAcentral